RNAcentral lists this unclassified non-coding RNA (501 nucleotides) under Hevea brasiliensis (rubber tree). The record is from RNAcentral. Lineage: Eukaryota; Viridiplantae; Streptophyta; Magnoliopsida; Malpighiales; Euphorbiaceae.
AUAGGAUCCACCACCACAGCCACUGCUCGUUGAUUCAGUGCUUCAAAACUCUGCUGUGUAUUGAUGUCAACACCAGAAAGCCAGCAGCCAAAUCCAGGAUGUGAGUGAUACCAACCAACAACCAUCUCAGGUCUCCCAGUUUGCUUGAGCAUGUCAAGCAUAUUGGUUUGAAAAACAUGAUCAACAGCUUCAACACUCACACCAGUACCACUCUGAGGCAUUGCAAACACAUCAACUACACGCACUGUAUACUCAUCGACGAAAUCCCCUAACAUCAAUCCCAUCACCUCCAUAGGAACUCCAGCCCUCCCGUGUUUAAGCAUCUUUAGGAGGGCAAGAGAAGAGAUGUAGACUUGCUCAGAAGAGUCCAGAGUUGGAGAGUCCGGUGGCGGGUGGCCCAACGCGCCGCCAGCUCCGGCGAACAUCCGCUGCAAUCUUUCCAUUCCAGACAUACUCUCCGAUUGGGUUUUGCUUUGCUUUUUGGAUUUCUUUGAGAACAAG